UAGGGAAUCUUCCGCAAUGGACGAAAGUCUGACGGAGCAACGCCGCGUGAGUGAUGAAGGCUUUCGGGUCGUAAAACUCUGUUGUUAGGGAAGAACAAGUGCUAGUUGAAUAAGCUGGCACCUUGACGGUACCUAACCAGAAAGCCACGGCUAACUACGUGCCAGCAGCCGCGGUAAUACGUAGGUGGCAAGCGUUAUCCGGAAUUAUUGGGCGUAAAGCGCGCGCAGGUGGUUUCUUAAGUCUGAUGUGAAAGCCCACGGCUCAACCGUGGAGGGUCAUUGGAAACUGGGAGACUUGAGUGCAGAAGAGGAAAGUGGAAUUCCAUGUGUAGCGGUGAAAUGCGUAGAGAUAUGGAGGAACACCAGUGGCGAAGGCGACUUUCUGGUCUGUAACUGACACUGAGGCGCGAAAGCGUGGGGAGCAAACAGGAUUAGAUACCCUGGUAGUCCACGCCGUAAACGAUGAGUGCUAAGUGUUAGAGGGUUUCCG
RNAcentral lists this ribosomal RNA (490 nucleotides) under uncultured Bacillota bacterium. Its description in RNAcentral is "bacterial SSU rRNA". It matches the Rfam family "Bacterial small subunit ribosomal RNA", at positions 355 to 836 of the family's 1533-position model. Lineage: Bacteria; Bacillati; Bacillota. The record is from RNAcentral.